GGAAUAGUUCCUGACAUAUUGAUGAAAU
Molecule: small RNA, 28 nt
Filed under: Bombyx mori (domestic silkworm)
Lineage: Eukaryota; Metazoa; Arthropoda; Insecta; Lepidoptera; Bombycidae
Description: ovarian small RNA-17222
Source: RNAcentral